UACGUAGGGGCUAGCGUUAUCCGGAUUUACUGGGCGUAAAGGGUGCGUAGGCGGUCUUUCAAGUCAGGAGUGAAAGCUCCGAGCUCAACUCGGAGACGCCACUUGAUACUGCUGUGACUAGAAUCCAGUAGGGGAGCGUGGAAUUCCUGGUGUAGCGGUGAAAUGCGCAGAUAUCAGGAGGAACACCGAUGGCGAAGGCAGGUCUCUGGGCCACUACUGACGCUGAGAAGCGAAAGCAUGGGGAGCGAACAGGAUUA
This 257-nucleotide ribosomal RNA is filed under the name uncultured prokaryote. RNAcentral's name for it is "partial 16S ribosomal RNA". It matches the Rfam family "Bacterial small subunit ribosomal RNA", at positions 524 to 780 of the family's 1533-position model. The record is from RNAcentral.